Long non-coding RNA from Orcinus orca (killer whale), 1082 nucleotides. RefSeq lists it as uncharacterized. Lineage: Eukaryota; Metazoa; Chordata; Mammalia; Artiodactyla; Delphinidae. The record is from RefSeq and is a predicted model, not a curated record. The transcript has 5 exons.
CCUGCCACCAGGGUGGCAGAGAUUGGCACAUGUUCCUGGCAGCUGGGCUUGUGAAUACCCAAGGCCACACAGCGGCAAAGUCGGGGGACCAGCCCAGUGGGCUGAUGCCCAGCUGCUCAUCUGGGAAGUUCUACUGGGUUCUCACUUGUCAUUAGCAAACCCAGACUCCUUCCUUUAGGACUAUCAGACCAAGCUUCUCUUGGGAUCACUGAAGAUGCCUGAUGAUGAAUGCAAAAUGAUGACUCAUAUCAUAUUUAAGCAAGACUCUGGGUGUGAGUGUGAAUGGAAAUCACUCAAAAUCAGAGAUGUGGUCAUGUCUUAGCUGGAGAUGAUAAUGUGGGUCCAUUGAGCCUUCCCUGGUUUGCUCUGGAGCUUCUGAGAACCUGGAUCUGAAUGCUCGGGUGAACUGUUUCUAUGCACUGCCGAGUGUUAAAUAGCAAAAGAUUUCCAAGUGAUUCUUCAAAAUGUAACUGACCAGCCCAGUCACAAUUCUGGUAGCCCAUCGCAUUUCCAAAAAUUUCACACUUAUUGAAUUUCUACAUUCAACACAGGACAUCGGAAGCAACGGGAGUAAAGCUGUAAAGAAAAAUUGGAUUCCAGAAUGACCGAGAUUUCCCUGGGAUGUGUUUGGUGCUGUUUGAGCACAGGCAGAACUAGGUGAGAACGGCUCUGGAAAAGUCAAGCUACCUAUCUUCGUAUGGCUUCUUGAAAUGAUGUAUGUUUGCCCAGAGCCAGGGAGCGUAUGCAGUUUCGGGGGGAACAGCUAGGGACCCUGGGGAAAUGGACAUCUCAGCAUCCCAUCGCUAACCCCUUCAUGCAAGAGGAGGGAGAAAAGGAUGGGCACCAUGGGGGUGGACAAGGGGAAGCUCUGAGAAGCAGAACAACGAAGCAGCAAGGCUUUCUGCCAGCGUCUCUGCCCAUACACACUUGUAUCCCUUUGGUGCCAAACAGCCAGUAGUGAACAGAAGCCUCGGAGAGCUGGGACCCACCUUCCACACCCACUGUAGUGGAUUAGAUGGUGGCCCCGCAAAGAUACGUCCAUGUCCUAAACCCUGGAACCUGUGAAUAUGACUUUAUUUGGA